This 22-nucleotide microRNA is filed under the name Cordylochernes scorpioides. The record is from RNAcentral. Lineage: Eukaryota; Metazoa; Arthropoda; Arachnida; Pseudoscorpiones; Chernetidae.
CCAGUUGAAGAGCAUAUUGGCC